Molecule: ribosomal RNA, 505 nt
Filed under: uncultured bacterium
Lineage: Bacteria
Description: partial 16S ribosomal RNA
Rfam family: Bacterial small subunit ribosomal RNA
Source: RNAcentral
AGUGAACGCUGGCGGUAGGCCUAACACAUGCAAGUCGAACGGCAGCACAGGAGAGCUUGCUCUCUGGGUGGCGAGUGGCGGACGGGUGAGGAAUACAUCGGAAUCUACUUUUUCGUGGGGGAUAACGUAGGGAAACUACGCUAAUACCGCAUACGACCUACGGGUGAAAGCAGGGGACCUUCGGGCCUUGCGCGAUUGAAUGAGCCGAUGUCGGAUUAGCUAGUUGGCGGGGUAAAGGCCCACCAAGGCGACGAUCCGUAGCUGGUCUGAGAGGAUGAUCAGCCACACUGGAACUGAGACACGGUCCAGACUCCUACGGGAGGCAGCAGUGGGGAAUAUUGGACAAUGGGCGCAAGCCUGAUCCAGCCAUACCGCGUGGGUGAAGAAGGCCUUCGGGUUGUAAAGCCCUUUUGUUGGGAAAGAAAUCCAGCUGGCUAAUACCCGGUUGGGAUGACGGUACCCAAAGAAUAAGCACCGGCUAACUUCGUGCCAGCCGCCGCCGCGG